CGGAGAGAGUAUCCACAUUUAUUUCAGUCAACGAGUUAAGGAAUGCGUAAUUUCGCAGAAGAAAUUAUUUUAAGGGGUGGAGAAUGUAAUAUACCGAGAAUUCAGAAAAUAAAUAUCGAACUUCAGUCAAAUUGACCAAAGUGCGAGGUUGGUACCCUUCGGAAAGUACGAAGGUGUUAAAAUAAGUAAAAGUGCAUUGUGGGAGGUUUUCGAGAGCUAAAGAAUUAAAAAUCUGCAAACUAUAGUUUUUGAGCUCUCGGGGACCGGUCCUUGGUGGGAGAGACCGGUCCCCGAACGCGUAAGAAAUAAGAGAAGCUGAAAAUC
RNAcentral lists this long non-coding RNA (324 nucleotides) under Ananas comosus (pineapple). RNAcentral's name for it is "long non-coding RNA (ACOM_LNC002601)". Lineage: Eukaryota; Viridiplantae; Streptophyta; Magnoliopsida; Poales; Bromeliaceae. The record is from RNAcentral.